Long non-coding RNA from Dreissena polymorpha, 835 nucleotides. RefSeq lists it as uncharacterized. The transcript is spliced from 2 exons. The record is from RefSeq and is a predicted model, not a curated record. Lineage: Eukaryota; Metazoa; Mollusca; Bivalvia; Myida; Dreissenidae.
UGAUGCGAUCGUAGACACAGACAAUGUGCCGAGAUCCUCUCCAAAGCUUUGUCACCAAACGCAUCGUGGCAUCAUCAAUAAGCACUCAUACCUCGAGCUGGAUGGUAACGGCGGCUAUGUUGACAUAGCGGACGUCGCAAGCUCGAUAUAUCCGCCUAAAAGAGCCCUGCCUGGUCCACCGGAUGCCACCAGGACCGCGGAAAACGGGUACCUUACACUGGUGACUGCAUCACUUCCAAGGGACAUAUCUGAACCAUUCAAAACAGAGGACAAUAAGUUACAUUCAGCGUAUGUCACUUCGUCCGCAACACCAAUGACAACAGAGAUAUCAAUGCACAAAUUGUCAACAUUGUAAUUAAGGAAAUAGUAGUUUAUGAAGUGAAAGACAAAUUCAAACAUACAAUGAAAAUCAUUUCUAAAAAGUUGAAGAAUACUGGACACAAUAAGAAUCUUCAAAACGUAACUUUUAUGCAAUGUUAAAGUGAUUUGUAUUCUCUCAAACCCACGCUACAUGUUGAUGGUAUUUACUACAACUUAAUCGCUCAGCUCGAUGAAUGAAGGUUGUAUUGCCUUCAAAAUGAAUGUAAAACGUGUUCAAUCUUAAAAUGUUGUUGAAACUUGUCUUAACCGAACUUAAAUUUUAAAGUUGUCAUGAUUUUCUGAAGUGACUUGUAGUGUGUAUUGCUUGUAAAUAUUUGUUGUCGUUUUUUUACUAUUGAGGCUAUGAUUUACUUGAAUUUGCGUUAUUGACAACAUAUAGGAUAAUGUAAAAGUAUAUGUUUUCCUAAAUGCUUCAUUUGGUAAUAUAAAAUAAAUAACAAUACUUAUAAAUGUA